UUGAGAUGAGUUUUCCCUGGCACUAUAAGUGUCCUAAAGGGUUGUCGUAGACUACGACGUUGAUAGGCAGGGUGUGUAAGUGCUGCGAGGCAUUGAGCUAACCUGUACUAAUUGCCCGUGAGGCUUAACCAUACAACACCCAAGGGGUUU
RNAcentral lists this ribosomal RNA (150 nucleotides) under Vibrio lentus. RNAcentral describes it as "partial 23S ribosomal RNA". The stretch from base 1 to 132 matches the Rfam family "Bacterial large subunit ribosomal RNA", at positions 2799 to 2925 of the family's 2925-position model. Lineage: Bacteria; Pseudomonadati; Pseudomonadota; Gammaproteobacteria; Vibrionales; Vibrionaceae. RNAcentral also lists the same sequence under 2 other names. The record is from RNAcentral.